GACCGCGUAGCUCAGUUGGCAGAGCAUUGGGCUAGAAUUCCAAAGGUCGUAGGUUCGAUUCCCACCGUGGUCA
Molecule: transfer RNA, 73 nt
Filed under: Paramuricea clavata
Lineage: Eukaryota; Metazoa; Cnidaria; Anthozoa; Malacalcyonacea; Plexauridae
Rfam family: tRNA
About the family: Transfer RNA (tRNA) molecules are approximately 80 nucleotides in length. Their secondary structure includes four short double-helical elements and three loops (D, anti-codon, and T loops).
Source: Rfam by way of RNAcentral